Molecule: ribosomal RNA, 403 nt
Filed under: uncultured bacterium
Lineage: Bacteria
Description: partial 16S ribosomal RNA
Rfam family: Bacterial small subunit ribosomal RNA
Source: RNAcentral
AUUGAACGCUGGCGGCAGGCCUAACACAUGCAAGUCGAGCGAGCGUCGGACGGGUGAGUAAUGUAUGGGGACUGCCCGCUAGAGGGGGAUAACUACUGGAAACGGUAGCUAAUACCGCAUACUAUCGGAUAACCCAUAUUGGAUUAGCUAGUAGGUUCGGUAAUGGCUCACCUAGGUGACGAUCCCUAGCUGGUCUGAGAGGAUGAUCAGCCACACUGGGACUGAGAAACGGCCCAGACUCCUACGGAGGCAGCAGUGGGGAAUAUUGCACAAUGGGCGCAAGCCUGAUGCAGCCAUGCCGCGUGUAUGAAGAAGGCCCUAGGGUUGUAAAGUACUUUCAGUCGGGAGGCGUUACCGACAGAAGAAGCACCGGCUAACUCCGUGCCAGCAGCCGCGGUAAUUC